RNAcentral lists this small nuclear RNA (103 nucleotides) under Eurypyga helias (sunbittern). The record is from RNAcentral. Lineage: Eukaryota; Metazoa; Chordata; Aves; Eurypygiformes; Eurypygidae.
AUGCUUUGGCAGCACAUAUACUAAAAUUGGAACGAUACAGAGAAGAUUAGCAUGGCCCCUGCACAAGGAUGACAUGCAAAUUCGAGAAGCGUUCUGUAUUUUA